AGUGAACGCUGGCGGCAGGCCUAACACAUGCAAGUCGAACGGCAGCACAGUAAGAGCUUGCUCUUACGGGUGGCGAGUGGCGGACGGGUGAGGAAUACAUCGGCAUCUACUUUUUCUUGGGGGAUAACGUAGGGACACUUACGCUAAUACCGCAUACGACCUACGGGUGAAAGCAGGGGAUCUUCGGACCUUUCGCGAUUGUAUGAGCCGAUGUCGGAUUAGCUAGUUGGCGGGGUAAAGGCCCACCAAGGCGACGAUCCGUAGCAGGUCUGAGAGGAUGAUCAGCCACACUGGAACUGAGACACGGUCCAGACUCCUACGGGAGGCAGCAGUAGGGAAUAUUGGACAAUGGGCGCAAGCCUGAUCCAGCCAUACCGCGUGGGUGAAGAAGGUCUUCGGGUUGUAAAGCCCUUUUGUUGGGGAAGAAAAGCAGCAGGUUAAUACCCCGCUGUUCUGACGGUACCCAAAGAAUAAGCACCGGCUAACUUCGUG
RNAcentral lists this ribosomal RNA (492 nucleotides) under uncultured bacterium. Its description in RNAcentral is "partial 16S ribosomal RNA". It matches the Rfam family "Bacterial small subunit ribosomal RNA", at positions 29 to 507 of the family's 1533-position model. The record is from RNAcentral.